UAACGAAUAUUGGGCAAUGGGCGAAAGCCUGACCCAGCAAUGCCGCGUGCAGGACGAAGUCCUUCGGGAUGUAAACUGCUUUUCUGAGGAAAGAAUAGCCGAGAGAGGAAAUGCCCUUGGUUUGACGGUACCUCAGGAAUAAGCAACGGCUAACUCCGUGCCAGCAGCCGCGGUAAUACGGAGGUUGCGAGCGUUGUUCGGAAUUACUGGGCGUAAAGGGAGCGCAGGCGGUCCGGUCAGUCUAAAGUGAAAUCCCGGGGCUUAACCUUGGAAGUGCUUUGGAUACUGCCGGACUUGAGUACGUGAGAGGAGAGCGGAAUUCCAGGUGUAGCGGUGAAAUGCGUAGAUAUCUGGAGGAACACCUGUGGCGAAAGCGGCUCUCUGGCACGAAACUGACGCUGAGGCUCGAAAGCGUGGGGAGCAAACG
RNAcentral lists this ribosomal RNA (427 nucleotides) under uncultured prokaryote. RNAcentral's name for it is "bacterial SSU rRNA". It matches the Rfam family "Bacterial small subunit ribosomal RNA", at positions 355 to 774 of the family's 1533-position model. The record is from RNAcentral.